GUCCUAGCUGUAAACGGUGCAUAUUUGCUGUAAAAGGAAUCGACCCCUUUGUGGCGAAGCUAACGCGUUAAAUAUGCCUCCUGGGAAGUACGGUCGCAAGAUUAAAACUCAAAGAAAUUGACGGGGGCCGUGCACAAGCGGUGGAGUAUGUGGCUUAAUUCGAUGCAACGCGAAGAACCUUACCUGGCCUUGACAUGCAUAUAGUAGAAGGGUGAAAGCCUGACGAGGUAGCAAUACCAGUAUGCACAGGUGCUGCAUGGCUGUCGU
This 267-nucleotide ribosomal RNA is filed under the name uncultured bacterium. RNAcentral's name for it is "partial 16S ribosomal RNA". It matches the Rfam family "Bacterial small subunit ribosomal RNA", at positions 793 to 1055 of the family's 1533-position model. The record is from RNAcentral.